CGAGUGGAUCAAUCGGACCGCGCACUGGACUCACAAUCCAGAGGUCGCCGGUUCGAAUCCCGCGAAUUCGG
Molecule: transfer RNA, 71 nt
Filed under: Culex quinquefasciatus (southern house mosquito)
Lineage: Eukaryota; Metazoa; Arthropoda; Insecta; Diptera; Culicidae
Description: tRNA-Val
Source: RNAcentral